Molecule: ribosomal RNA, 353 nt
Filed under: uncultured Prevotella sp.
Lineage: Bacteria; Pseudomonadati; Bacteroidota; Bacteroidia; Bacteroidales; Prevotellaceae
Description: bacterial SSU rRNA
Rfam family: Bacterial small subunit ribosomal RNA
Source: RNAcentral
UGAGGGAAUAUUUGGGGUCAAUGGACGUAAGUCUGAACCAGCCAAGUAGCGUGCAGGAUGACGGCCCUAUGGGUUGUAAACUGCUUUUAUGCGGGGAUAAAGUGUGGGACGUGUCCCAUAUUGUAGGCACCGCAUGAAUAAGGACCGGCUAAUUCCGUGCCAGCAGCCGCGGUAAUACGGAAGGUCCGGGCGUUAUCCGGAUUUAUUGGGUUUAAAGGGAGCGUAGGCCGUCGUUUAAGCGUGUUGUGAAAUGCCGCGGCUCAACCGUGGCACUGCAGCGCGAACUGGAUGACUUGAGUUCGCGGGAGGUAGGCGGAAUUCGUGGUGUAGCGGUGAAAUGCUUAGAUAUCACG